GACGAACGCUGGCGGCGUGCUUAACACAUGCAAGUCGAACGAAAAGAGGGAAAGAGCUUGCUCUUUCCGGAAUUGAGUGGCAAACGGGUGAGUAACACGUAAACAACCUGCCUUCAGGAUGGGGACAACAGACGGAAACGACUGCUAAUACCGAAUAAGUUCCAAGAGCCGCAUGGCCCAUGGAAGAAAAGGUGGCCUCUACCUGUAAGCUAUCGCCUGAAGAGGGGUUGGCGUCUGAUUAGCUGGUUGGAGGGGUAACGGCCCACCAAGGCGACGAUCAGUAGCCGGUCUGAGAGGAUGGACGGCCACACUGGAACUGAGACACGGUCCAGACUCCUACGGGAGGCAGCAGUGGGGAAUCUUCCGCAAUGGGCGAGAGCCUGACGGAGCAACGCCGCGUGAGUGAUGACGGCCUUCGGGUUGUAAAACUCUGUGAUCCGGGACGAAAAGGCAGAGUGCGAAGAACAAACUGCAUUGACGGUACCGGAAAAGCAAGCCACGGCUAACUACGUG
Molecule: ribosomal RNA, 513 nt
Filed under: uncultured bacterium
Lineage: Bacteria
Description: partial 16S ribosomal RNA
Rfam family: Bacterial small subunit ribosomal RNA
Source: RNAcentral